Molecule: ribosomal RNA, 757 nt
Filed under: unidentified microorganism
Description: bacterial SSU rRNA
Rfam family: Bacterial small subunit ribosomal RNA
Source: RNAcentral
ACACAUGCAAGUCGAGCGGUAGAGAGAAGCUUGCUUCUCUUGAGAGCGGCGGACGGGUGAGUAAUGCCUAGGAAUCUGCCUGGUAGUGGGGGAUAACGCUCGGAAACGGACGCUAAUACCGCAUACGUCCUACGGGAGAAAGCAGGGGACCUUCGGGCCUUGCGCUAUCAGAUGAGCCUAGGUCGGAUUAGCUAGUUGGUGAGGUAAUGGCUCACCAAGGCGACGAUCCGUAACUGGUCUGAGAGGAUGAUCAGUCACACUGGAACUGAGACACGGUCCAGACUCCUACGGGAGGCAGCAGUGGGGAAUAUUGGACAAUGGGCGAAAGCCUGAUCCAGCCAUGCCGCGUGUGUGAAGAAGGUCUUCGGAUUGUAAAGCACUUUAAGUUGGGAGGAAGGGCAUUAACCUAAUACGUUAGUGUUUUGACGUUACCGACAGAAUAAGCACCGGCUAACUCUGUGCCAGCAGCCGCGGUAAUACAGAGGGUGCAAGCGUUAAUCGGAAUUACUGGGCGUAAAGCGCGCGUAGGUGGUUUGUUAAGUUGGAUGUGAAAUCCCCGGGCUCAACCUGGGAACUGCAUUCAAAACUGACAAGCUAGAGUAUGGUAGAGGGUGGUGGAAUUUCCUGUGUAGCGGUGAAAUGCGUAGAUAUAGGAAGGAACACCAGUGGCGAAGGCGACCACCUGGACUGAUACUGACACUGAGGUGCGAAAGCGUGGGGAGCAAACAGGAUUAGAUACCCUGGUAGUCCACGCCGU